GAUGAACGCUGGCGGCGUGCCUAACACAUGCAAGUCGAACGAAGCGCCUUACCGGAUUCUUCGGAUGAAGGUCUGGUGACUGAGUGGCGGACGGGUGAGUAACGCGUGGGUAACCUGCCCUGUACAGGGGAUAACAGCUGGAAACGGCUGCUAAUACCGCAUAAGCGCACGAGGAGACAUCUCCUUGUGUGAAAAACUCCGGUGGUACAGGAUGGGCCCGCGUCUGAUUAGCUGGUUGGCAGGGUAACGGCCUACCAAGGCAACGAUCAGUAGCCGGUCUGAGAGGAUGAACGGCCACAUUGGAACUGAGACACGGUCCAAACUCCUACGGGAGGCAGCAGUGGGGAAUAUUGCACAAUGGGGGAAACCCUGAUGCAGCAACGCCGCGUGAGUGAAGAAGUAUUUCGGUAUGUAAAGCUCUAUCAGCAGGGAAGAUAAUGACGGUACCUGACUAAGAAGCUCCGGCUAAAUACGUG
Molecule: ribosomal RNA, 476 nt
Filed under: uncultured bacterium
Lineage: Bacteria
Description: partial 16S ribosomal RNA
Rfam family: Bacterial small subunit ribosomal RNA
Source: RNAcentral